Molecule: long non-coding RNA, 902 nt
Organism: Halichondria panicea
Lineage: Eukaryota; Metazoa; Porifera; Demospongiae; Suberitida; Halichondriidae
Exons: 6
Source: RefSeq, a predicted model, not a curated record
AAAUAAAUUUGAUUUGACUCCGUUCAUCAGUGGCGUAGGAAGCACGGGUGCUCAGGGUGCUGGAGCACCCCCUUAUCUCAAGCUACCUUACCUACUUGCCUCCAUGAAGUUCAGAACAGCUAGCUAUUAGUUACUAAGCUAGCUCUGAAGCUAGCUACACUAGCAUAGUUACAUACACAGUACAAAGGUCAGCUAGAUGAACCACAUUGUAUAAUAUAUCUCUUAUAAAGUUAAAGAGCAAGCACAUUGCGAAUCUGCAACAAGCAAGUCUCCUCUCAUUUUUGACAUCAAUGGAACUAUAAGCUAGCCACGUACUAUCUGAAUGAAAUCCCUGGAUAUUGAUUUCUUCCUACAUUGGCCCACCAACGAGAUCUGAAAGGAGUGAAGGUCAUAUCUCCCAGAGGACAGACAGCUAUGUUGGUGUCAUUCACUAAAUGUUGAGCCUCUCGGAAACAGAGAAGGAUACGAUUCUCACAAGCAGUGGAACAAGAUGUAUUUCCUUCACUACACGGAGUGAAGGUCAUUGCAUGUGCUCCCGGAGGACAGACAGCUAGGUUGGUAUCAUUCACUGAAUGCUGAGCCUCUCGGAAACACAGGUGGAUCCGAUUCUCAUAAGCACUGAGACAAAAUGAUUGAGCAACACAAUCCAUAAGAUAGUCUGUUCUCAUAUGGAACACACAUAGGUCCGCUGUGUCCACCUCCCCCCAUCUCGUACACGGGAUUUGCCCCCAUAGUGAUGUGCUCCUCCGUUGCAGACCCUGCAUGGUGGUAAGAAAACAAGCAACAGUUAAAUUGAUCUCAGGGUUCUGGUAACCAGGGAGACACACCUUGGUACCAUUAAUGUGACAGGUGAAGUGUCCGGUGGAGUCGUUUUGUGGGCUGCAACCACAGUCAGGACCAAA